GGCGGAUGUAGUCAAGUGAUAGGGAUUG
RNAcentral lists this transfer RNA (28 nucleotides) under Gentianella gentianoides. RNAcentral describes it as "partial tRNA-His". The record is from RNAcentral. Lineage: Eukaryota; Viridiplantae; Streptophyta; Magnoliopsida; Gentianales; Gentianaceae.